Molecule: ribosomal RNA, 2234 nt
Filed under: Salmonella enterica
Lineage: Bacteria; Pseudomonadati; Pseudomonadota; Gammaproteobacteria; Enterobacterales; Enterobacteriaceae
Description: bacterial LSU rRNA
Rfam family: Bacterial large subunit ribosomal RNA
Source: RNAcentral
UGACUGCGUACCUUUUGUAUAAUGGGUCAGCGACUUAUAUUCUGUAGCAAGGUUAACCGAAUAGGGGAGCCGGAGGGAAACCGAGUCUUAACCGGGCGUUAAGUUGCAGGGUAUAGACCCGAAACCCGGUGAUCUAGCCAUGGGCAGGUUGAAGGUUGGGUAACACUAACUGGAGGACCGAACCGACUAAUGUUGAAAAAUUAGCGGAUGACCUGUGGCUGGGGGUGAAAGGCCAAUCAAACCGGGAGAUAGCUGGUUCUCCCCGAAAGCUAUUUAGGUAGCGCCUCGUGAAUUCAUCUCCGGGGGUAGAGCACUGUUUCGGCUAGGGGGCCAUCCCGGCUUACCAACCCGAUGCAAACUGCGAAUACCGGAGAAUGUUAUCACGGGAGACACACGGCGGGUGCUAACGUCCGUCGUGAAGAGGGAAACAACCCAGACCGCCAGCUAAGGUCCCAAAGUCAUGGUUAAGUGGGAAACGAUGUGGGAAGGCCCAGACAGCCAGGAUGUUGGCUUAGAAGCAGCCAUCAUUUAAAGAAAGCGUAAUAGCUCACUGGUCGAGUCGGCCUGCGCGGAAGAUGUAACGGGGCUAAACCAUGCACCGAAGCUGCGGCAGCGACACUGUGUGUUGUUGGGUAGGGGAGCGUUCUGUAAGCCUGUGAAGGUGUGUCGUGAGGCAUGCUGGAGGUAUCAGAAGUGCGAAUGCUGACAUAAGUAACGAUAAAGCGGGUGAAAAGCCCGCUCGCCGGAAGACCAAGGGUUCCUGUCCAACGUUAAUCGGGGCAGGGUGAGUCGACCCCUAAGGCGAGGCCGAAAGGCGUAGUCGAUGGGAAACGGGUUAAUAUUCCCGUACUUGGUGUUACUGCGAAGGGGGGACGGAGAAGGCUAUGUUGGCCGGGCGACGGUUGUCCCGGUUUAAGUGUGUAGGUGUGUGUUCCAGGUAAAUCCGGUUCACUUUAACACUGAGGCGUGACGACGAGGCACUACGGUGCUGAAGCAACAAAUGCCCUGCUUCCAGGAAAAGCCUCUAAGCAUCAGGUAACAUCAAAUCGUACCCCAAACCGACACAGGUGGUCAGGUAGAGAAUACCAAGGCGCUUGAGAGAACUCGGGUGAAGGAACUAGGCAAAAUGGUGCCGUAACUUCGGGAGAAGGCACGCUGACACGUAGGUGAAGUGAUUUACUCAUGGAGCUGAAGUCAGUCGAAGAUACCAGCUGGCUGCAACUGUUUAUUAAAAACACAGCACUGUGCAAACACGAAAGUGGACGUAUACGGUGUGACGCCUGCCCGGUGCCGGAAGGUUAAUUGAUGGGGUCAGCGCAAGCGAAGCUCCUGAUCGAAGCCCCGGUAAACGGCGGCCGUAACUAUAACGGUCCUAAGGUAGCGAAAUUCCUUGUCGGGUAAGUUCCGACCUGCACGAAUGGCGUAAUGAUGGCCAGGCUGUCUCCACCCGAGACUCAGUGAAAUUGAACUCGCUGUGAAGAUGCAGUGUACCCGCGGCAAGACGGAAAGACCCCGUGAACCUUUACUAUAGCUUGACACUGAACAUUGAGCCUUGAUGUGUAGGAUAGGUGGGAGGCUUUGAAGUGUGGACGCCAGUCUGCAUGGAGCCGACCUUGAAAUACCACCCUUUAAUGUUUGAUGUUCUAACGUGGACCCGUUACCCGGGUUGCGGACAGUGUCUGGUGGGUAGUUUGACUGGGGCGGUCUCCUCCUAAAGAGUAACGGAGGAGCACGAAGGUUGGCUAAUCCUGGUCGGACAUCAGGAGGUUAGUGCAAUGGCAUAAGCCAGCUUGACUGCGAGCGUGACGGCGCGAGCAGGUGCGAAAGCAGGUCAUAGUGAUCCGGUGGUUCUGAAUGGAAGGGCCAUCGCUCAACGGAUAAAAGGUACUCCGGGGAUAACAGGCUGAUACCGCCCAAGAGUUCAUAUCGACGGCGGUGUUUGGCACCUCGAUGUCGGCUCAUCACAUCCUGGGGCUGAAGUAGGUCCCAAGGGUAUGGCUGUUCGCCAUUUAAAGUGGUACGCGAGCUGGGUUUAGAACGUCGUGAGACAGUUCGGUCCCUAUCUGCCGUGGGCGCUGGAGAACUGAGGGGGGCUGCUCCUAGUACGAGAGGACCGGAGUGGACGCAUCACUGGUGUUCGGGUUGUCAUGCCAAUGGCACUGCCCGGUAGCUAAAUGCGGAAGAGAUAAGUGCUGAAAGCAUCUAAGCACGAAACUUGCCCCGAGAUGAGUUCU